Molecule: non-coding RNA, 1446 nt
Organism: Sus scrofa (pig)
Lineage: Eukaryota; Metazoa; Chordata; Mammalia; Artiodactyla; Suidae
Source: RefSeq, a predicted model, not a curated record
GCACGUGCUCUUUAUUAAGCUCUGCAGACGUAGAUACGGAUUAUUCCCGUUUCACAGACGAGGAAACUGAGACUCAGGCCACACAGGCGAAGCGGAAAAUCCGGCAGGUCCCUGCUCCGGCCCCGCAUCAUCUGGGCAGAAGGUAAGGCGCUGCAUUUAAGAGCAAAGCAAAUUUGGUUGCAGAGGAGAUGAGAUGUCUUUGUCAAGGCCUAUGAAAUUCAACUUCAGCCUCCCACACGGAGUCCUCUGGAAGUGGUGACAGCACAGACAGUAGGAAGGCAGGAGGUCCCUUCCCCCUUCUCCCCCCUAGGGCCUGGAGGAAGGGGUCACACACUUGCACAAAGAGCAACAGAGGCCCUGCAGAGGCAGCAGGAACGCAGGAGCAGGAAAUAUUUCCUGAGACUCCCUUCGCGCCAGUCAUUUCUCAGACAUCAUCUCAUUGUGUCACAUCACCACCCAUUUUAUAGAUGGGAAAACUGAGGCUUGGGGCCGCCCAAGGGCACACCAGAGAUAACAAAGCCAAGCUAUUGCAUUUUAUUCCAAAGCCGUUUCCACUCCAGAGCUAGGGCGUCAGUACUGGUCUCCCCUCUUGUCUGAAAAUGGGUGACCUCAGGAGCAGCACUGCAAGAGCUGAUCUAGGACCUGUCACAGCGACGGAGCGGUGGCUGCAGUGAUACCCCACGCCAUAGCAAAGCCAGCAUCUCCUCCACCAGCGGGGAGAAGGGACCCAUGGAGCCAGUGCGUGACUGAGUCAGGGACGGCAAUCCCAGAGCCGGACAUCCAACUCGGUGUCAUGGCCAGACUCCAUCCUGGAGCCUCUGUGACACGGACUCCCUGCCUUGCUCUGCUACCAGUCUGUGUGGAUGGGUUCUGGCCAGAAGUACCAUGUCCAGACACAGAUGCUGACCUUGUGUCCACCACAUCUGAGGCUGGGAUCGGAGCUCUGUGACCUUGGGCAAGUUACUUAACCUCUCUGAACCUCUGUCGAAUGGCAAUAGUGCCUGCCUCAAAGGAUUAUUGAAAGUAGUAAAUGAGAAGCAUUCAGUGUUGAUAUUAGGUGGUAAGAGUGGCAUUGUUGUCACUGUCACUGAUUCCAGCGCAAGCAUGCUCCCAGCAUCCACAGCCCGCCAGUUCCCAGUGCAUUCACUCAUUCCACACAUGUGCUUUGAGCACCGACUAGGUCACACGUGCAUCCUACUAUGACCAGACUGUGUGCCGGGGACAAGUGGUGAACAAGCCAGAGGCCGUGCCCGACACGCUCCCCAUCCCGCCCUUCACUGCCCGCUCCAUCUCCUGCCUUUUCCUUGAUCUCAGCCCCCAUCCCAGCCUCUCAUGGCCACCUGCUGGCCUCAAGCCCAUCCCCCUCUCUGCCUGGCACCCUCCACCAGCUCCCCUUCUUUCCUCUGUUCUGGCCUCACCUCUUUUGCCCGUAUCCAUCAUACUCCA